This is a non-coding RNA of Pseudopodoces humilis (Tibetan ground-tit), 264 nucleotides long. Lineage: Eukaryota; Metazoa; Chordata; Aves; Passeriformes; Paridae. The record is from RefSeq and is a predicted model, not a curated record.
GGGAGGGGCGCGGCCGCCGCCCCCCAGGGGGGCCCCACGGUGGAGCGGCGCUGUCCCCGCUGUGGGAACGAGGGGAUGAGUUACCGCACGCGUCAGAUGCGCUCGGCCGACGAGGGCCAGACGGUUUUCUACAGCUGCCCCCGCUGCGGGUUUCAGGAGAAGGAAGAUUCCUGAAAAAUUCCCGAUUUUUGGACUCUUCCGGCUCUUCCCGAGGAAUAAAAGCGACCCCCGCUGGAUCCGGGCUUGGUUUCGAUUUGUGGGACC